UACGUAGGGUGCGAGCGUUGUCCGGAAUUAUUGGGCGUAAAGGGCUCGUAGGCGGUUUGUCGCGUCGGGAGUGAAAACCAUGGGCUUAACUCAUGGCUUGCUUCCGAUACGGGCAGACUAGAGGUAUGCAGGGGAGAACGGAAUUCCUGGUGUAGCGGUGAAAUGCGCAGAUAUCAGGAAGAACACCCGUGGCGAAGGCGGUUCUCUGGGACGGUACUGACGCUGAGACGCGAAAGCGUGGGGAGCGAACAGG
This 253-nucleotide ribosomal RNA is filed under the name uncultured bacterium. RNAcentral describes it as "partial 16S ribosomal RNA". It matches the Rfam family "Bacterial small subunit ribosomal RNA", at positions 524 to 776 of the family's 1533-position model. The record is from RNAcentral.